AGUCGAGCGGAUGAGUGGAGCUUGCUCCAUGAUUCAGCGGCGGACGGGUGAGUAAUGCCUAGGAAUCUGCCUGGUAGUGGGGGACAACGUUUCGAAAGGAACGCUAAUACCGCAUACGUCCUACGGGAGAAAGUGGGGGAUCUUCGGACCUCACGCUAUCAGAUGAGCCUAGGUCGGAUUAGCUAGUUGGUGAGGUAAAGGCUCACCAAGGCGACGAUCCGUAACUGGUCUGAGAGGAUGAUCAGUCACACUGGAACUGAGACACGGUCCAGACUCCUACGGGAGGCAGCAGUGGGGAAUAUUGGACAAUGGGCGAAAGCCUGAUCCAGCCAUGCCGCGUGUGUGAAGAAGGUCUUCGGAUUGUAAAGCACUUUAAGUUGGGAGGAAGGGCAGUAAGUUAAUACCUUGCUGUUUUGACGUUACCAACAGAAUAAGCACCGGCUAACUUCGUGCCAGCAGCCGCGGUAAUACGAAGGGUGCAAGCGUUAAUCGGAAUUACUGGGCGUAAAGCGCGCGUAGGUGGUUCGUUAAGUUGGAUGUGAAAGCCCCGGGCUCAACCUGGGAACUGCAUCCAAAACUGGCGAGCUAGAGUAUGGCAGAGGGUGGUGGAAUUUCCUGUGUAGCGGUGAAAUGCGUAGAUAUAGGAAGGAACACCAGUGGCGAAGGCGACCACCUGGGCUAAUACUGACACUGAGGGUGCGAAAGCGUGGGGGAGCAAACAGGAUUAGAUACCCUGGUAGUCCACGCCGUAAACGAUGUCGACUAGCCGUUGGGAUCCUUGAGAUCUUAGUGGCGCAGCUAACGCAUUAAGUCGACCGCCUGGGGAGUACGGCCGCAAGGUUAAAACUGAAAUGAAUUGACGGGGGCCCGCACAAUCGGUGGAUCAUGUGGUUUAAUUCGAAGCAACGCGAAGAACCUUACCAGGCCUUGACAUGCAGAGAACUUUCCAGAGAUGGAUUGGUGCCUUCGGGAACUCUGACACAGGUGCUGCAUGGCUGUCGUCAGCUCGUGUCGUGAGAUGUUGGGUUAAGUCCCGUAACGAGCGCAACCCUUGUCCUUAGUUACCAGCAUGUUAAGGUGGGCACUCUAAGGAGACUGCCGGUGACAAACCGGAGGAAGGUGGGGAUGACGUCAAGUCAUCAUGGCCUCUACGGCCUGGGCUACACACGUGCUACAAUGGU
RNAcentral lists this ribosomal RNA (1181 nucleotides) under Stutzerimonas stutzeri. RNAcentral's name for it is "bacterial SSU rRNA". It matches the Rfam family "Bacterial small subunit ribosomal RNA", at positions 60 to 1234 of the family's 1533-position model. Lineage: Bacteria; Pseudomonadati; Pseudomonadota; Gammaproteobacteria; Pseudomonadales; Pseudomonadaceae. The record is from RNAcentral.